ACCGUAAACGAUGAAUGCUAAGUGUUGGAGGGUUUCCGCCCUUCAGUGCUGCAGCUAACGCAUUAAGCAUUCCGCCUGGGGAGUACGGCCGCAAGGCUGAAACUCAAAGGAAUUGACGGGGGCCCGCACAAGCGGUGGAGCAUGUGGUUUAAUUCGAAGCUACGCGAAGAACCUUACCAGGUCUUGACAUACUAUGCAAAUCUAAGAGAUUAGACGUUCCCUUCGGGGACAUGGAUACAGGUGGUGCAUGGUUGUCGUCAGCUCGUGUCGUGAGAUGUUGGGUUAAGUCCCGCAACGAGCGCAACCCUUAUUAUCAGUUGCCAGCAUUAAGUUGGGCACUCUGGUGAGACUGCCGGUGACAAACCGGAGGAAGGUGGGGAUGACGUCAAAUCAUCAUGCCCCUUAUGACCUGGGCUACACACGUGCUACAAUGGAUGGUACAACGAGUUGCGAACUCGCGAGAGUAAGCUAAUCUCUUAAAGCCAUUCUCAGUUCGGAUUGUAGGCUGCAACUCGCCUACAUGAAGUCGGAAUCGCUAGUAAUCGCGGAUCAGCAUGCCGCGGUGAAUACGUUCCCGGGCCUUGUACACAC
Molecule: ribosomal RNA, 591 nt
Filed under: Lactobacillus sp. NCIM 2903
Lineage: Bacteria; Bacillati; Bacillota; Bacilli; Lactobacillales; Lactobacillaceae
Description: bacterial SSU rRNA
Rfam family: Bacterial small subunit ribosomal RNA
Source: RNAcentral